RNAcentral lists this long non-coding RNA (2719 nucleotides) under Mus musculus (house mouse). RNAcentral's name for it is "long non-coding RNA chr11:117974365-117977084". Lineage: Eukaryota; Metazoa; Chordata; Mammalia; Rodentia; Muridae. The record is from RNAcentral.
UUUUUUUUUUUUUACCAGUCUUGGAUGCACAGCCAGCUUCUCAAGUUGUUGGUUUCUGGAGCCUCUGUGUGGAGGGCCUAGAUGUUGUGGCUUCUGGGAAGCCCCAGGGAUGGCUUACUGGAGAUUAUUAUUACACUGCUAAUCUGAAGGCAAACAGCCUGGAAAAGUGGGAGGAGACUGGUUAGCAGGGCACGUUUCCAGGGACCCACUUUAAGACAAGGACUUGAACUGAGAGAUGACAAGCCCAAGGACAGAGCUUAAACCCUGUUUGCAGUUUGCAUCCCCUCUUAUCUGCUGGGUUGCUGAGGCGGGGAAAGGUCCAGCUAUCUAGGUCUGGACCCUUAGCUCCACCUAACCUUUUCCCGUCUAAAGGAUUGGGAGGCUACCACCUUCUGCUAAUCUCUCCGUCUGUCCGUCGCAGAACUUGGAUGCAUUCAGAAUCCCGUUUCCAGGCAAAGGUGCGGGGUCAUAAACAUAAUAAAGAUAAGCGUUCCCAACAGAGAGGAAGAGCCCUGUGGUUUCAGCUGCCAGCCUGUGGCAAGUAACAUCUGCUGAGCUCAUCCUCUGGGCCCAGAGAGGAAGGAAUGCUGGUGCGCAGGCAGGCAGGCAGGCAGCAAUGGUGAGGCUUGGUGGCCCCGGCUGGGUGCCAUAGCUACCCUGGGCUCAGAUGCUAACAUUGCUGUUCUUGGUGACCAGAUCUGCAGCCUGAGGGUUGCAAGCCUUGCCUCAGCACAUGACCUUGGGAAGGACCAAGUUCUGGGCCUCUCUGUCUUCAAAGCUAUUGGAGUUGGUUUAUGUGUGACAUUGACCAUUGUUUUCCUGUGCUAGCUUGUCACCCAAACCUGGGAAUACAAGCUGGGAAUCUAGAUGCCCUGAAACUUAGUCUAGUGUGGAUCAGGGGGUCUGCAUCUCUCUUACCCCCCUUAGAAAGUGAUGCAGAAAGCCUGUCCCUUCUUUGUCCCAUGAAGCUACAGAGAGUCUCCCCUCCAGCCCAGGCCUUUGCCAUGGUUCCCUGCCCCUCACCCCGUCUCUGUGUAUGUGUGUGUGUGUGUGUCUGUCUCUCUCCUUUUCUGCCCUCCAGGACUGCUUGAGGAGCAAUCUGGGACUCGAGAUGAGCCAGUCACAGAUAACCUCUCUCAUUCGAGGAGAAGAACUCGGGGUCAUAUAUCAAGUUGACCCCGAUUUCUUCUUUUCCGGUUGCUAACAAUCUCACGGGGUGGAGGAGUCUGGGACAAUGGCCUGCGGCCGGGAAGCUGCAUUCCCGUUGGCAGGCCUUUGUUGCAAGCAGGAGGGGCCUCUAACUAAUGAAAAGGCUUGAGGGUCGGAUGUCUAUGGGGCGGCAGCUAAAGAGUCUUUUCAAGUUUGACAUUCCAGGCCCGGCUGGCCUCUGGCGUUUCCCAGAAAACUCAGAGGAAGGGAAGAAAAAGAAAACACUUCACCAACCCACCGCCCACUCGCUCAAAUCCUCACGUCUCAGAUUCCUGGUGCCCUCCAGGGACUGGGUUGGCCUGAGAGCCAGGACCCCUGCCCUGGGGGCCAUUCCUCUGCCCACAGAAGCCUCGAAGGGGUGGCAGUGGGGUGGGGGUGGGUAAUGGGUUAUGUGUGGGUGGGUGCUGGAGGAGGGGUCAGAGAGAAAUGUAAUGGGUCGCCUCUGAGAGAAGAGUUUCUUCCUGCUCAUUGAAGUUCACAAAUUCUGAGUUGGUGGUAGAGGGUGUGGAAAGUCAGCUUCCAGCGUUUGUCCAGCCAUCCCACCCUCCAAACAGUACACCCCACUCUGUCCAGGGCUGCCUGCGGUGGGAAGCACCCACAAGGCCAAGCUGGCGCUGGGUCGGGGAACAGACAGCAGGGCAGCUGGGCAGUUCUGGGAAGCCAGGCUGCGGUGAGCCAUCUGGGUUGCAAUGCAAAUGAGGCCUGGCCACUUGCCGAGAGCAGAAGUGGCUGUACCCAAGGAGGAGAGCCCAGCCCGGGAGGAAGCACCUCCUGAGAGGCCAGGGAUGGAGGAGGGCCAGGUGACGGCUGCUUUUCUGCUCUGUGCACUAGAAGGUUGGGGCCCUGGGCUCUAGGGACUGGUGUUCCUCACCUGAAUGCACCUGCAGCAUCUGUCUCCCCCUCCCCUUCUGUAGGUGAGUAUCAGGUUUCCUCAGGAGUCCCUGUGCUCUAAGAAGGUAUUAGUAUGCAGUUAGUCUCCCACUGAAAACUCAAGGCAAGUUCAAAGUAGACCCGUCUGCCUCCCGCAGCCUCAAGCUCCUCAGGGGGUGAGUGGGUCAGGAGUGAGGGUGGGGCUCUCCCCCAAGGACCCAAGGGAGGGAGCGAGAGAGAUCUUGACGUAGCUUCCCCACCCUGCCUCAUUUGGGUGUUGCUUUGGAGUUUUAGUAUAUUGUUUAUUUGUAUCUAUGCACAAGUGUCUAUUUGGCAUCUGCAUAGAACUGUAGCACCUCCAGGAGUCUAGAAGAGGGCCCUGGGUCUCUGGAAUUGGAGUUUGUGUGUGAGGUGCCUAACUUUGGCGUGGGGAACUGAACUCAGGUCCUCUGGAAAAGCAAUAUGAACUUAAAGCCCCUGAAUCAUCUUUCUAGUCCCCACGAGUAUUUUCAAAUUUUAAAACAAUUUUCCAGGCUCAGAGGUCUGCCUGUCUCUCUCUGGUCUGCAUGCUGGGAUUAAAGGCGUGGCCACCACCAUGCCUGGUUUACAGUCGCUUCUUGCUACUUAUUUCACACUACUU